Molecule: non-coding RNA, 732 nt
Organism: Camellia sinensis
Lineage: Eukaryota; Viridiplantae; Streptophyta; Magnoliopsida; Ericales; Theaceae
Source: RefSeq, a predicted model, not a curated record
UUUCUCUGCCUCACAGUACAAUGAAAUUCUUGGCAAAGGAGCUUUUAAAGACACUGUGUGAACCUCAUUUCCUCAUAUUGUUUUGAACUUUCAUUGUUUACACUACAAGAAUCGUUCUUCAAUAGUUGACAAUUGGUGGUAGAGAACUCAUGGCUUGAGAGAGGAGGCAUUGCUUAUAACACAGUUUUGUUAGAUAACAGUCGGUAGUGGCCACAAGUGACAAGGUUCAUUCUUAACGUUCUCUAAUGUGAUUUGUGCAUUUUAAUUUUUCUUUUUCUUCAUAUUUGUUGACACUAUUAAACCAAUUUGAUAAGAAUGGAUUUAGAUUUUAAUUUUAAGAUUGUUUUGUAUUGAAUUUGUUUUGGGUCGAAAAAUGUAGGGUUCUUUGUUUGUUGGGCUUUUGUGAGUAGUUGGCAUUUGGUUAAAUUAGUGUUUAGUCGCUUUGUAUUUAGUUUCCCACCAAAAACACCAAUCUUAAAAUGUCAGGUUACGAGCUAUAAUUUAUGUCAAGAUUGAUUUGUUUAACCUUGGUUGUUUAGGUAAUGGAUUUAAUUUUUGUGCUAGCUAAAGAAAGUGAUAAUGGCAUUUCUACCAAUCAUUGCUUCAAUCACUCAGUCGGUCAUCUCCCUCCUAUUCAAAAGGCUGCUACUUGUCACCCAUCAUGUUUAAUGCAAGCCUUGAUUUUCAAUAGGCUCCUGAAGAACCUAUUACAUUAGAAUCAGACAUUAGCAC